CGACAGUGAUGAGCUCUUUAUCCCAAAGCUGAUCUAUUGAUGAGACAGUUUUACGGAUCUGACUCCUGAGUU
Molecule: small nucleolar RNA, 72 nt
Organism: Thalassophryne amazonica
Lineage: Eukaryota; Metazoa; Chordata; Actinopteri; Batrachoidiformes; Batrachoididae
Product: small nucleolar RNA SNORD50
Exons: 1
Source: RefSeq, a predicted model, not a curated record